ACAUGCAAGUCGAACGGAGUAUUCAGCAAUGAAUACUUAGUGGCGAACGGGUGAGUAACGCGUAGACAAUCUGCCUUCUAGAUGGGGACAACACCGCGAAAGUGGUGCUAAUACCGAAUGUGAUACGGAGAAUGCAUGUUCUCUGUAAGAAAGGUGGCCUCUAUUUAUAAGCUACCGCUAGAAGAUGAGCCUGCGUCUGAUUAGCUAGUUGGUGAGGUAAUAGCUCACCAAGGCGACGAUCAGUAGCCGGUCUGAGAGGAUGAACGGCCACACUGGGACUGAGACACGGCCCAGACUCCUACGGGAGGCAGCAGUGGGGAAUCUUCCGCAAUGGACGAAAGUCUGACGGAGCAACGCCGCGUGAGUGAAGAAGGUUUUCGGAUUGUAAAGCUCUGUCUUCAGGGGCGAACGUGUUGUAGGUGAAUAAUCUAUGAUAAUGACGGUACCUGAGGAGGAAGCCACGGCUAACUACGUG
This 475-nucleotide ribosomal RNA is filed under the name uncultured bacterium. Its description in RNAcentral is "bacterial SSU rRNA". It matches the Rfam family "Bacterial small subunit ribosomal RNA", at positions 53 to 507 of the family's 1533-position model. The record is from RNAcentral.